RNAcentral lists this non-coding RNA (121 nucleotides) under Yersinia aleksiciae. Its description in RNAcentral is "Yersinia sRNA 224". It matches the Rfam family "Yersinia sRNA 224". The record is from RNAcentral. Lineage: Bacteria; Pseudomonadati; Pseudomonadota; Gammaproteobacteria; Enterobacterales; Yersiniaceae.
AGGUGAUUGACAAAGUGUCAGCGGCUGGGAGAACAGGCAGAUCGUAAAGACGCCGUAUUCCCUUUGUAAAAAUAAACAUCCCUGAUGGCUUGAGCCGUGCCAUCCUUGGCGCGGACGCUUU